UUACCCCCCUUUUAUUGCCUAUCUUGGACCUGUGUUCUUGAUGAUUAACGCAGGGGGGUAAAUUAUCCCUCUCAUAAACCUGUGGUGGAGGCUCAAUCCCUCGCUAUGGAUCCUGUCGGGAGAAACAAGU
Molecule: small nucleolar RNA, 130 nt
Organism: Gadus morhua (Atlantic cod)
Lineage: Eukaryota; Metazoa; Chordata; Actinopteri; Gadiformes; Gadidae
Product: small nucleolar RNA SNORA26
Source: Ensembl